RNAcentral lists this ribosomal RNA (253 nucleotides) under uncultured bacterium. Its description in RNAcentral is "partial 16S ribosomal RNA". It matches the Rfam family "Bacterial small subunit ribosomal RNA", at positions 524 to 776 of the family's 1533-position model. The record is from RNAcentral.
UACGUAGGGGGCAAGCGUUGUCCGGAAUCAUUGGGCGUAAAGCGCGUGUAGGCGGUUCGGUAAGUCCGCUCUGAAAGCCCGGGGCUCAACCCCGGGAGGCGGGUGGAUACUGUCGGACUAGAGUGCGGAAGAGGCGAGUGGAAUUCCCGGUGUAGCGGUGAAAUGCGCAGAUAUCAGGAGGAACACCAAUGGCGAAGGCAGCACUCUGGGACGUGACUGACGCUGAGACGCGAAAGCGUGGGGAGCGAACAGG